CUGCCUGCAGAGCUGAUUGAGCCUUCUUCUGGCAAAUUUCUUUGGAGACCAUGAAGUUUCCUCAUACCAUAAUAAUCAAUGCAAGCUAUUGCCACUGAAAUCCAAUAAGGUAGGUGGAAGGCUGCUGGUGAAAUCUUAUCUGCUAGGUGGAAGGCUGCUGGUGGAUCCACAUGCAAGGAAUAAGAUCCUAUCCGGGCCUAUCAUCCUGCACAUAAGAAAAGAAGAAGAGCUUAAAGGUUAUCAAAGCUGACCUAGCCGAGCACCGUCAAUACUUGAAUCAAAUAAGGCUCCAAGGAGCAAUAGGAGGAGAAGGAAGAUACCUAGAGGAAAGUAUAUUUUGGGCCUCCUUUUAUAGGUAAAGAGUUCUUAUCCCAACAAAACAAGGAUGGUGAUUAGAUUGGGUUGGAUCACAUGCUGAUUGAUCUAAAAAUUUAUUAAUCCAAAUUCAA
RNAcentral lists this long non-coding RNA (449 nucleotides) under Elaeis guineensis (African oil palm). RNAcentral describes it as "long non-coding RNA (EGUI_LNC072229)". Lineage: Eukaryota; Viridiplantae; Streptophyta; Magnoliopsida; Arecales; Arecaceae. The record is from RNAcentral.